RNAcentral lists this non-coding RNA (120 nucleotides) under Syntrophomonas zehnderi. RNAcentral's name for it is "MoCo sequence". It matches the Rfam family "Molybdenum/Tungsten riboswitch aptamer (Moco RNA motif)". RNAcentral also lists the same sequence under 1 other name. Lineage: Bacteria; Bacillati; Bacillota; Clostridia; Eubacteriales; Syntrophomonadaceae. The record is from RNAcentral.
AAACAUAUAAAACUCCGAGUUGAUCUGCCUAAAGUUUACGCCACGGCAAAUUAACCGAUAGGGUAAAUCCGGAAACGGUUUUGCCUCCCUUGCUUGGAAAGGAGUUUGGGUCGAAUAAAG